RNAcentral lists this ribosomal RNA (176 nucleotides) under Myxobolus ampullicapsulatus. RNAcentral describes it as "5.8S ribosomal RNA". The stretch from base 4 to 155 matches the Rfam family "5.8S ribosomal RNA". From Rfam's summary of the family: 5.8S ribosomal RNA (5.8S rRNA) is a component of the large subunit of the eukaryotic ribosome. It is transcribed by RNA polymerase I as part of the 45S precursor that also contains 18S and 28S rRNA. The record is from RNAcentral. Lineage: Eukaryota; Metazoa; Cnidaria; Myxozoa; Bivalvulida; Myxobolidae.
AACAACCAUUGACGGUGGAUCACUUGGUUCGAAGCACGAUGAAGAACGUGGCAAAAUGCGAUAAUUGAUGCGAUUCGCAAGCCUUGUGAGUCAUCAAGUUUUUGAAUGCAUAUGGCACCAUUGAUUAUGUCAGUGGUAUGUCUGUUUGAGGGUUGUUUUAUGUAAACAUCCGUUUG